Long non-coding RNA from Glycine soja, 1034 nucleotides. RefSeq lists it as uncharacterized. The transcript has 4 exons. The record is from RefSeq and is a predicted model, not a curated record. Lineage: Eukaryota; Viridiplantae; Streptophyta; Magnoliopsida; Fabales; Fabaceae.
UAGAAUCAUUAGAUUUAAUUAAACGGUGUUUCCUCUUCUAUUUAAACCAAAUGAAUAGUGGUUUUUCAAAGCCCAUUCGAUUUGUUCCUUUCACAUCAUGUCUUUUAAGAAAAAUUGUUCAGCUUCUUUAGGGUUUAGGGUUAAUGAUUGAUUUUUCAUUGUGAUACUGCUAUGAUUGGUUUGCACUACUAUUUUUCUCAAAUGGACACCCCCCUGUUCAUGAUACAAACAUGAAUUAAAGCAAUGCUAUUUUAAUUGUGUAGGGUUUUUUUUAUCAGAUCGUAAACAAUGUUUACAUUGUUCCUCUCUAGAUUUCAGAUUUUUUAUAAGGGAAGGUGUUAGACUCUCUGGUUUAGAGGACCAGAAACCUCCCAAGAAGAAGAGAAUUAAGAAAACUCAACAUAAUCCUAACGAAAUUGCGAAAACAAAACGCUAAUGGCAGACAAGCUAUGUAAGGAAUAAUGGCAGACAAGAUACGGAGGGAAGAUACUGUUGCCAACUCAACAGAUCCUGUUCUCAUCUCAGACAAAAUCUCUCAGACAAGCUACGUAGGGAAUAAUGGCAGACAAGAUACGAAGGGAAGAUACUGUUGCCAACUCAGCAGAUCCUGUUCUCAUCUCAGACAAAAUCUCUCAGGAUUUGAUGCUGAAAUUUUGUGGGAGUGAUGAUUCUGCUUUUGCUGACCUUGGCGAGAGAAUUGAUUUGAUCAAGAAUUUGGACGAAUUAACACUAGCUUAGAGGGCCUCAAUUGAAGAUGAAUUACAUGCUGCAAGUGCUAAGAUGUUGAAGAAGGUCAUCAAAAUUAAAAAGGAUCGAUGUACUUGAUUAUUGAAAGCCAAAUGUAUCUAAAGAAUUUUUUUUGUUAUUUCAUGUUUGUCUUUGUUUUGUGUUUGAUUUGAAUUUUGUAUUUCGAACUUGAUAUUCCUUGAACUUAAGUUCGAUGAAGUCAACUAAUCUUCUAAGGUAAAACCAAACUCUAUCCUUAUUUUAGUUGUCAUAAUAUGAUUUAUAAAAGAAUAAGAUAACAUAUGCCA